Molecule: long non-coding RNA, 1189 nt
Organism: Brassica napus (rape)
Lineage: Eukaryota; Viridiplantae; Streptophyta; Magnoliopsida; Brassicales; Brassicaceae
Exons: 4
Source: RefSeq, a predicted model, not a curated record
UAUAAGUGAAGCUUCUCUAUGGGUCUCUUCUCUCCUUAGCCAUCUCUAUCCUUUGUCAACUUCUAGUUAUUCUCGCUUUUUAUGUUACCGUCGAAUUUUUCUCCGGUUGUAAUCGUAGAUGGCUUUGCAUUGUUUCUAAGAAUCGUAAACUGGAGUCUCUUUCUCUAUCUCUCUCUCUCUCUCUCGAACUCAUCGUCUCUUCAUCUCCAUAUCUCCUCCGUCGUGCUUGCCGGGGUUACGAUUUUGUAAUGAUUUAUGGGUAAGAGGAAGCGGAGCACGACAAAGUUUUGCGGCGAAUUUACAAAAGAGGAAUCUGCUGGCUAAUGUUCAAAAGGCCUCUACGGUGGCUUAGAAUGCUCAUCUAAGAGCUUCAUUUGAGCUUCUUCUUCGGUGUAAUUGUCGUCUACGGCGUUAGCCAAGGUCUCAGUAAAGGUUUGGGGUCUGUUGACUGAUGUUGUAACGGUUUUUGGUUACAGGGGACGACCCCCUAUUUCAUAUUUCCUGGGGAAUGAUUUUACUCCUUUUGGAGGUGAUUUGAUGGGAGAGUUGAGGAUGCACUUUUGAUGUCUCUCAUGAUGAAGUGCAGUAACAAGAAAUAGAGGUUUGCUUUACAGGAUAAACCACAAGAACUACUUGAAAAACGGCCGUGUAGUUACGUCUCCUGCGGUCAACAUCACGGAGACCGAUUGAAUAACUGCAGAUGGAGAUGUGAUUGGAUAUGAUUAUCUAGUGAUAGCUACUGGUCACAACGACCUGUUCCCCAAAACCAGACAAGAAAAUCUCUCACAGUACCAAACAGAAUAUGAGAAGAUCAGAUCUUCUAAAUCAGUUCUGAUUGUUGGUGGAGGACCUUCUGGUGUGGAACUAGCUGCAGAAAUCUCUGUUCAGCUUCAGACGGAAACAAAACAUACCGGACUUCAGGAGGAGAGACUAUACACGCAGGUUGUUGUUGGGGGUGGAUUUACAUCCUUCCUCAAGGCCCAUUAGACAAUGUACUAGGCCCAUUUGGCUAGAAAAUCCUAGACAUAUCUUUUUAUAAAUAAGGAGCUCCUCCUUAUGAGAAAAGUGGAUCCUCUCCAUUUUACACUAAGAACACAUCUUGUAAAGAGUUUAUGGAUUAUUAGAUUUACUUUACACUAGUAAUCAUACUUGUAAUACAAUCUUUGAUCAAUAAACUCUUUUAUUAUCA